UGUCUGUUGUUUUUUAUAAUAGAUAAUUUCUGCUCAGUGUGAGGUGUAAACAGCCGCGGUAUCUUGACCGUGCAAAGGUAGCAUAAUCACUUGUUCUUUAAUUGGGGACUGGAAUGAAAGAAAGUUUGAAGUUUUUUCUGUCUCUUUUUUGUGUGUGGAAUUUGUUGUUUUUGUGAAGAAACAAAAAUUUUAAAAAAAGACAAGAAGACCCUAUUAAGCUUUACUUUUAAGUAUUUUCUUUUUUAUUUUGUGUUAAAAUUUAAAAGCUUUUAAAAAAAGUUUGGUUGGGGUGACUGAAAAGGAGUAAAAUCCUCUUUUUGUUUGUUGAACGUAAAGUUAAAUAAUGACCCAAGAUUUUUUGGUUAAUAGAAUUAGUUACUAUAGGGAUAACAGCGUAAUCUUUUUUUAGAGUCCUUAUUGAAAAAAAGGUUUGCGACCUCGAUGUUGACUUGUUGUAUCCUUUAAAGGCGAAGAAGCUGUUAGGGUUAGUCUGUUCGACUAUUAAAAUAAC
Molecule: ribosomal RNA, 511 nt
Filed under: Pilidiophora sp. RCMBAR371
Lineage: Eukaryota; Metazoa; Nemertea; Pilidiophora
Also listed under: 1 other name
Description: partial 16S ribosomal RNA
Rfam family: Bacterial large subunit ribosomal RNA
Source: RNAcentral